CUACGUAGGUGGCAAGCGUUGUCCGGAAUUAUUGGGCGUAAAGCGCGCGCAGGUGGUUCCUUAAGUCUGAUGUGAAAGCCCCCGGCUCAACCGGGGAGGGUCAUUGGAAACUGGGGAACUUGAGUGCAGAAGAGGAUAGUGGAAUUCCAAGUGUAGCGGUGAAAUGGGUAGAGAUUUGGAGGAACACCAGUGGCGAAGGCGACUGUCUGGUCUGUAACUGACACUGAGGCGCGAAAGCGUGGGGAGCAAACAGGAUUAGAUACCCUGGUAGUCCACGCCGUAAACGAUGAGUGCUAAGUGUUGGGGGGUUUCCGCCCCUCAGUGCUGCAGCUAACGCAUUAAGCACUCCGCCUGGGGAGUACGGUCGCAAGACUGAAACUCAAAUGAAUUGACGGGG
Molecule: ribosomal RNA, 397 nt
Filed under: uncultured bacterium
Lineage: Bacteria
Description: partial 16S ribosomal RNA
Rfam family: Bacterial small subunit ribosomal RNA
Source: RNAcentral